RNAcentral lists this small RNA (509 nucleotides) under Pongo abelii (Sumatran orangutan). RNAcentral's name for it is "retained intron". Lineage: Eukaryota; Metazoa; Chordata; Mammalia; Primates; Hominidae. The record is from RNAcentral.
AUCGGUGAAUACAGAGGGCGAGCUGACCCCUGUGCGGCCGCCGCCACAAUGGGCCGCGAGUUUGGGAAUCUGACGCGGAUGCGGCAUGUGAUCAGCUACAGCUUGUCACCUUUCGAGCAGCGCGCCCAUCCGCACGUCUUCACUAAAGGAAUCCCCAACGUUCUGCGCCGCUUUCGGGAGUCUUUCUUUCGCGUGGUGCCGCGUGAGUGCCCUGGGCCCGCGGGAGCGGGAGGCUGGACCCCAGCAGCAGCAGUAGUCACUGCGCCUCCCCUCUGAGCGCUGGCGGCCGGGAAGGCGCUCUGUAACUUGCCGUAUACACCGUUCUCAUUGAAUAUUCCUGACAGCCCUUAAGUUGGUCAUAUUAUCUUCCCCAUCUUACACGGGGAAAACUGAGUUACAGAACUGAAAUGACUGGCCCAAGGUCACUCGGGUGAUUCCAGCGUGUUCCUCUGAGGUCAUCUUUAUUUAGUUCUUACCAGUGGUGAAAUGCUUUGUGUUAAACGUGCAGC